UACAGCUAGGAUUAUAAUUCAACUCUCGGCCUACGUGCCCACUGCUGGUUCUACCCAUCACGGCCACACACUUGAACGUUUGCAGCAUUUCCCAAACAAACCCAGGUGUGGCUGUCACACCGGCUGACUCCGAAAAUGCCACGUAAAGAUCUUGGUUCAGCAAGUGCUGGAGUAUCAUAAAAAUCUCCAAGAGUUAGACUGGUGAAUCAUGCUGUUGCCACUAAUAGUCAUAUGACAUAGUUGAAAAUUUCAUCAACUUCAACAAAUAAUCAAGAUGGCUUCCCCCUGUGCUGAGAACACCCUCCUGCCUGAAGGAUAAUGUUGUUUCCCCUCAGGACUUCGUUUAUGUAUUUUGUCCCUCAGGAAACUGUCUGCUACAUUACAGCUGGCAGGUGGUCCAGUGACACUCCCUGGCCCCUGUGCUUACUACUAUUAUCUCAGAGAACUUAUCUUUUAUAUUUUAAUCUAUUUAUUUUAUUUCCUACUGAAUUUAAAUUUCUUGAGGGCAAGACCUUUGACUCAUUCACUAUUUUAUGUGUAGAACA
Long non-coding RNA from Lemur catta (Ring-tailed lemur), 545 nucleotides. RefSeq lists it as uncharacterized. The record is from RefSeq and is a predicted model, not a curated record. NCBI's taxonomy places the organism in Eukaryota, Metazoa, Chordata, Mammalia, Primates, Lemuridae. The transcript is spliced from 4 exons.